This 199-nucleotide unclassified non-coding RNA is filed under the name uncultured fungus. RNAcentral's name for it is "sequence contains ITS1". The record is from RNAcentral. Lineage: Eukaryota; Fungi.
UUAACUAUUAUAUAGUACUCAGACGACACUAACAUUCAGAGUUUGUAGAGCCUCUGGCGGGCACGCGCUAGCUGAAGCGCCAGCGGCCGGGACCCGGCGGCCCGCCAAAGCAACAAUAGUAACGAUAACAGUGGGUGGGAGAUCUACCCGUGAGGGCGAGAACUCUGUAAUGAUCCCUCCGCAGGUUCACCUACGGAGA